AGAAAGCUAGUCUAACCAAGACAGUUGAUUUCGGCUCAACAAAUCAUAGCAAAACCCUAUGGCCUUCUC
Molecule: transfer RNA, 69 nt
Filed under: Penelopides panini (Visayan tarictic hornbill)
Lineage: Eukaryota; Metazoa; Chordata; Aves; Bucerotiformes; Bucerotidae
Also listed under: 1 other name
Description: tRNA-Arg
Source: RNAcentral